This 226-nucleotide ribosomal RNA is filed under the name Vibrio mimicus. RNAcentral's name for it is "partial 23S ribosomal RNA". It matches the Rfam family "Bacterial large subunit ribosomal RNA", at positions 2672 to 2892 of the family's 2925-position model. The record is from RNAcentral. Lineage: Bacteria; Pseudomonadati; Pseudomonadota; Gammaproteobacteria; Vibrionales; Vibrionaceae.
CUGCUCCUAGUACGAGAGGACCGGAGUGGACGAACCUCUGGUGUUCGGGUUGUGUCGCCAGACGCAUUGCCCGGUAGCUAAGUUCGGGAUCGAUAACCGCUGAAAGCAUCUAAGCGGGAAGCGAGCCCUGAGAUGAGUCUUCCCUGAUACUUUAAGUAUCCUAAAGGGUUGUUCGAGACUAGAACGUUGAUAGGCAGGGUGUGUAAGCGUUGUGAGGCGUUGAGCU